RNAcentral lists this ribosomal RNA (815 nucleotides) under Arthopyrenia fallaciosa. RNAcentral describes it as "SSU rRNA". It matches the Rfam family "Bacterial small subunit ribosomal RNA", at positions 392 to 1267 of the family's 1533-position model. The record is from RNAcentral. Lineage: Eukaryota; Fungi; Ascomycota; Dothideomycetes; Pleosporales; Arthopyreniaceae.
UAACAUUGUGUAUAAUGUUUAUCAUUAUAUAUAAUGUGAAAUAAUUGAUUAAUUUAAAUAUAAUUCUAGAUAAAAUAUUGAUAAUGACAGCUUUUAUCUAAAAGUCUUGACCAAAUCUUGUGCCAGCAGUCGCGGCAACACAAGGAAGACAAGUGUUAUUCAUCUUAAAUCGGUUUAAAGGGUACCUAGACGGUAAAUUAGGCCUAAAAGGCACGUUUUUACUAGAGUUAUACAUGCAGGAGGAAAAUGUCAGUAUUACCAGAGUAGAGAUAAAAUUUUUUGAUACUGUUAAGACUGGUAAAGGCAAAAGCAAACCUCUAUAUAUUAACUGACGUUGAGGGACGAAGGCUUGGGGAGCAAACAGGAUUAGAUACCCUAAUAGUCCAGGCAGAGAAUUAUGAGUGUCAUAGACUAUAUAUAUAUUCUAUAAAUGAAAGUGUAAGCACUCCACCUUAAGAGUAAUGUGGCAACGCAGGAACUGAAAUCAUUAGACCGUUUCUGAUACCAGUAGUGAAGUAUGUUAUUCAAUUUGAUGACCCACAGAGAAUCUUACCACAAUCUGAAUAUGUUUAAAUUAUAAUCUAAAAAUUUAAUAAUACUAGCGUUGCAUUGCUGUCUUCAGUUAAUGUUGUGAAAUUUGGUUAGAUUCAUUAAAUUAACGUAAUCCCAUAUUUUAUUUAAAUAUUUAUAAAGUAGUUCACCGCUAUAUUGGAUAUCGAUAACAGGGAGUAAGACAAGUCAUAAUGACCUAAGUAUUGUGGGCUAUAGACGUGCCACAUUUGCCUAAACAAUAGGAUGCAAAAUUGUAAAUUUAG